RNAcentral lists this ribosomal RNA (275 nucleotides) under uncultured bacterium. RNAcentral's name for it is "partial 16S ribosomal RNA". It matches the Rfam family "Bacterial small subunit ribosomal RNA", at positions 399 to 691 of the family's 1533-position model. The record is from RNAcentral.
GCGUGAGUGAAGAAGGCCUUCGGGUUGUAAAGCUCUUUCGGCGGGGAAGAUAAUGACGGUACCCGCAGAAGAAGCCCCGGCUAACUCCGUGCCAGCAGCCGCGGUAAUACGGAGGGGGCUAGCGUUGUUCGGAAUUACUGGGCGUAAAGCGCACGUAGGCGGGACGGCAAGUUGGGGGUGAAAUCCCGGGGCUUAACCCCGGAAUUGCCUUCAAAACUGCCGACCUUGAGUCCGGGAGAGGUAAGUGGAAUUCCUAGUGUAGAGGUGAAAUUCGU